ACCCUUCCCCGCGGGGGGGGUCCCCCCAUUAAAAAAAAACUUUUCCUUCUCUCAGAUGAACGCUGGCGGCAGGCCUAACACAUGCAAGUCGAGCGGUAGAGAGGUGCUUGCACCUCUUGAGAGCGGCGGACGGGUGAGUAAUGCCUAGGAAUCUGCCUGGUAGUGGGGGAUAACGUUCGGAAACGGACGCUAAUACCGCAUACGUCCUACGGGAGAAAGCAGGGGACCUUCGGGCCUUGCGCUAUCAGAUGAGCCUAGGUCGGAUUAGCUAGUUGGUGGGGUAAUGGCUCACCAAGGCGACGAUCCGUAACUGGUCUGAGAGGAUGAUCAGUCACACUGGAACUGAGACACGGUCCAGACUCCUACGGGAGGCAGCAGUGGGGAAUAUUGGACAAUGGGCGAAAGCCUGAUCCAGCCAUGCCGCGUGUGUGAAGAAGGUCUUCGGAUUGUAAAGCACUUUAAGUUGGGAGGAAGGGCAGUUACCUAAUACGUGAUUGUCUUGACGUUACCGACAGAAUAAGCACCGGCUAACUCUGUGCCAGCAGCCGCGGUAAUACAGAGGGUGCAAGCGUUAAUCGGAAUUACUGGGCGUAAAGCGCGCGUAGGUGGUUUGUUAAGUUGGAUGUGAAAUCCCCGGGCUCAACCUGGGAACUGCAUUCAAAACUGACAGGCUAGAGUAUGGUAGAGGGUGGUGGAAUUUCCUGUGUAGCGGUGAAAUGCGUAGAUAUAGGAAGGAACACCAGUGGCGAAGGCGACCACCUGGACUGAUACUGACACUGAGGUGCGAAAGCGUGGGGAGCAAACAGGAUUAGAUACCCUGGUAGUCCACGCCGUAAACGAUGUCAACUAGCCGUUGGGAGCCUUGAGCUCUUAGUGGCGCAGCUAACGCAUUAAGUGACCGCCUGGAGACGCGACUUGU
Molecule: ribosomal RNA, 919 nt
Filed under: Pseudomonas sp.
Lineage: Bacteria; Pseudomonadati; Pseudomonadota; Gammaproteobacteria; Pseudomonadales; Pseudomonadaceae
Description: bacterial SSU rRNA
Rfam family: Bacterial small subunit ribosomal RNA
Source: RNAcentral